AAAAAACAAGAUGAAAGUAGUGGAAAGAAUAGCGUAAUGCAAAUAGAGUGUUGAAACUUUACAAAAGAAGGAGUCUGCAGAUACUUACUGUGAUGUCUCCAAGAAGAAGCUACUGGUUGUGCGACUAAUACGUAGAGAAGAUGAAGAGCCCAAGACCUAGCCCGCUCUGAUACUAUCUAGCUCUCACCACCCGGACAGACUCACUAAAAUCUGUACUUACAAACUCAGCUACCCGACUUCACUGUUCCCCUAUUCCAAAAUCCGAGAUCCCCACA
RNAcentral lists this long non-coding RNA (275 nucleotides) under Physcomitrium patens. RNAcentral describes it as "long non-coding RNA (PPAT_LNC001493)". The record is from RNAcentral. Lineage: Eukaryota; Viridiplantae; Streptophyta; Bryopsida; Funariales; Funariaceae.